This is a long non-coding RNA of Triticum aestivum (bread wheat), 1905 nucleotides long. RefSeq lists it as uncharacterized. Lineage: Eukaryota; Viridiplantae; Streptophyta; Magnoliopsida; Poales; Poaceae. The transcript has 5 exons. The record is from RefSeq and is a predicted model, not a curated record.
AGCGAUCUGACCUCUCUGUACCCACAUCGUCUUCCUCCCCUUGCCAUACUCUGUACCAGGCCGUCCAGCUGCGCGCUAGGGUUCGGGAAGUCUGCUCCGUCGCCUCUCUCGCCCCCUCUCCUGGACUUUCUCCGACUUCUAUCUUGGACCUAGUUCCGGCGCCGUUGAAGGACGAGCUCCCCUCCUCUCCUCUGAGUCGCGCCCGACGAAGACGCCAUUGCCGCCGGCGAGCACGUAAAUGUAGAGGAGUUGUGCUGUAGCUCCUGGGGGCGAAGAGGAACUGCCCAAAGGAGUCAGCUAUCUUCUGCGCCUCGAGGAUUUUAGGUCAGCCAUGGAGUCCAUGACAAGUGGUGCUCUAAGUAUUGGGUCAACUACGGCAAUGGGAGUUGAAGAUGAUGCCAACAGCUUUGCCAUGGGCACGAUCCAGCAGGUCGAAAACAAUGAAAAUAGCUACCACACGCCAACACGAACUAACAGUCUUCCGUUUUGUGGGUCAAGAUAUGAGCCGGAGUGUGAUCCUAACUUACAGCCCGUAAUUGGUAUGCAAUUUGACACUUGGGAGGAAGGUAUGACAUUCUACAAAAUGUAUGCUCAUGAAGUCGGGUUCUCGGUUCGCACAUGGACGACACACAAAGAUGCACAUGGCAUACUGUGGAAGAGGUUUGUUUGUGCUAGGGAGGGUUGGAGAAAGGAGGCCCCAGAAGAGGAAAGGAUAAAACCUAAACGAAAAUUCAAGUUAACCAGGUGUGGUUGUGAGGCUAUGAUUGGACUGAGGAGGCAGGAUGAUGGCAAAUAUAAGGUUGCCCGGUUUGUUCAAUCACACAUUCACCAACUUAUUUCGCCAAGUAAGAGACAUCUCAUCAAGUCAAAUAGGGAAGUAAGUAGUGAGUUGAGGAGCAAACUACUUACAUGUCAUAAAGCAAUGGUUGGCACAUCUGCAGCAUAUCGCUUGCUUAGUGUAGAGACGGGGGGUCCGGAAAAUGUGGGCUGCACGUCAGCUUAGUGUAAUGAAAUUCCUAGUCAAUAUGUGUUGCAUAGGUGGACUAAAAUGGCAGCACGUCAGCUUUCCUAUGACGCCAACGGACAUGAGCUAGAAGGCCCAUCUACAUGUCUUUCACCUACCAUAAAAAAGUUGUACUCGGAAACAUGUUCAAAAUUUAGCUUGGCACUUCAUGCAGCGAAACAUUGUGAGGAGAAAAUGAGAUAUUUUCACAAGGUUGUUGGUGAUGCCUUCACGCAAUUGGAACAGAUGGGUGCCAUUAGUGAGCAAAGUAAAGUUCAAGAAUUUGAAUCCUUCGUCGAAACAUCAUUCCCAAGUGUGAUCAGUAUUCAUCCACCAGAUGUAGCAAACACAAAAGGGAGUGGUAAGAGAUUGAAAAGGGGUUCAGAGCAAACAGUGAACCAAAAGAAGAAGAGGGCAAAUAGCAUCCAAAAGGUUCCUGAUAAGUAGGGGCGGUGGUUUCACUAAUUUGAUGUUGGAAUAAUUAUGUGAAGUCAUUCAGCUGGCUACAUUCUUGCUGGAAAUGGCAGUGAUAUUCAUAGGCGAUGAGGUUUUCGACUUUUGGUGCUUCCAGGAGCUCACAUUUUGCAAAUGUGUCACUGAAGCAUGCAUAUGUUCUAUGUCUGUAACUCUGGAUGUGGUCACUGUUAGCUUCAGGAAGUCGCUAACAGUAAACCAUGUUGUCCCAUUAGCCAUGUUUAACCAGGAAGAAAAGAUUGUAUGACCGGGCAACGAAUUGCUAAGCCUAGCUUAAUGUAGGUUUUAAGAUUUGGUUUGUCUUUCUGUGUUAUUGUCGCAGCUGUAGCCAGCUUGCUAUAUGUCGUGCUCAUGUGAACACUUUCCGAAUUAGGGCAACCUUAUUACUAUGUGUAUUGAGCACCGUUCAUUUAUUUUCCUCUGUUUUU